GAGAGUUUGAGGACGAACGCUGGCGGCGUGCCUAAUACAUGCAAGUCGAGGGAGCUUGCUCCCUUAGGUCGGGUGAGUAACACGUGGGUACGGACCGACGACCUGCCUGUAAGACUGGGAUAAUCCGGGUAAUACCGGAUGCUUGAUUGAACCGUCCAAUCAUAAAAGGUGGCACUUAAAUGGACCCGCGGCGCAUUAGCUAGUUGGUGAGGUAACGGCUCACCAAGGCGACGUGCGUAGCCGACCUGAGAGGGUGAUCGGCCACACUGGGACUGAGACACGGCCCAGCGGCAGCAGUAGGGAAUCUUCCGCAAUGGACGAAAGUCUGACGGAGCAACGCCGCUGAGUUCGGAUCGUAAACUCUGUUGUUAGGGAAGAACAAGUACCGUUCGAAUAGGCGGUACCUGACGGUACCUACCAGAAAGCCACGGCUAACUACGUGCCAGCAGCCGCGAUACGUCGUUGUCCGGAAUUAUUGGGCGUAAGCGCGCGCAGGCGGUUUCUUAAGUUAUGUGAAAGCCCCCGGCUCAACCGGGAGGGUCAUUGGAAACUGGGGAACUUGAUGCAGAAGAGGAUCCACGUGUAGCGGUAAAUGCGUAGAGAUGUGGAGGAACACCGUGGCGAAGGCGACUCUACUGACGCUGAGGCGCGAAAGCGUGGGGAGCGAACAGAUUAGAUACCCUGUAGUCCACGCCGUAAACGAUGAGUGCUAGUGUUAGAGGGUUUCGCCCUAGUGCUCAUUAAGCACUCCGCCUGGGAGUACGGUCGCAAGACUAAACUCAAGGGCCGCACAGCGGUGGAGCAUGUGGUUUAAUUCGAAGCACCUACCAGGUCUGACAUCCUCUGACAACCCUAGAGAUAGGGUUCUUCGGGGGCAGAGUGACAGGUGUCGUCAGCUCGUGUCGUGAGAUGUUGGGUUAAGUCCCGCAACGAGCGCAACCCUUGAUCUUAGUUGCCAGGGCACUCUAAGGUGACUGCCGGUGACAAACCGGAGGAAGGUCAAAUCAUCAUGCCCCUUAUGACCUGGGCUACAAUGGGCAGAACAAAGGGCACGAAGCCGCGAGGCCCACAAAUCUUUCUCAGUUCGGAUCGCAGUCUGCAACUCGAUCGUGAAGCUGAAUCGCGGAUCAGCAUGCCGCGGUAAUACGUUCCCGGGCCUGUCACACCGCCCGUCACACCACGAGAGUUUGAG
RNAcentral lists this ribosomal RNA (1192 nucleotides) under uncultured bacterium. RNAcentral describes it as "bacterial SSU rRNA". It matches the Rfam family "Bacterial small subunit ribosomal RNA". The record is from RNAcentral.